AAUGGCUGGCCGGCGUGGACGGAAAUUAAAUGGAGGCCGGAGGGAGUAAUCCCCGCAAAGCGCAUCUCUGGCCGCCCUCGUGGAAAAUCCUUCCAGCCCCUGGGCUCCCGCCCCGCGCUCUUCCACCCCCCACCUCGACCCCACCCCGGCAGUGAUCGCCUCCGGCAAACUGAACCGUAACCUCGAGAAAUGGAGAAGGGAGACCAUUCCUCACAUCACUAAACAUUUUGUGUGAAGGCCAGCACCUGAAAAAUGCUUAACUACUUGGUGGGAUCAAAUUUCUCAAAGGCAGAGGUCAUCUGUCCGUCCAGGCAGCUAACGAGCCAUGAAGACUAAAUGGAACAUGGGAUCCUGGAUGGCUUCCUGAACCACAGAAGGGACAUUAGUAGGACAGCUGGUGAAACAGGAAUAGUACCGUACCAAUAUUAAUUUCCGGAUUUGGGUAACCGUACUGUGUUUAUGCAACAUCUGGAGAAUUGGGGGAGGGGUGU
Prionailurus viverrinus (fishing cat) is the source of this 491-nucleotide long non-coding RNA. RefSeq lists it as uncharacterized. Lineage: Eukaryota; Metazoa; Chordata; Mammalia; Carnivora; Felidae. The transcript has 3 exons. The record is from RefSeq and is a predicted model, not a curated record.